UACGUAGGGUGCAAACGUUGCUCGGAUUUACUGGGCGUAAAGCGCGUGUAGGCGGGCGACUAAGUCGGAUGUGAAAUCCCUGGGCUCAACCUAGGAACUGCAUUCGAAACUGGUCACCUAGAGUGAUGGAGAGGAAAGCGGAAUUCCCGGUGUAGAGGUGAAAUUCGUAGAUAUUGGGAAGAACACCGGUGGCGAAGGCGGCUAUCUGGACUGUGAUUGACGCUGAGGCGCGAAAGCGUGGGGAGCAAACAGG
Molecule: ribosomal RNA, 253 nt
Filed under: uncultured bacterium
Lineage: Bacteria
Description: partial 16S ribosomal RNA
Rfam family: Bacterial small subunit ribosomal RNA
Source: RNAcentral